Molecule: long non-coding RNA, 597 nt
Filed under: Anas platyrhynchos platyrhynchos (common mallard)
Lineage: Eukaryota; Metazoa; Chordata; Aves; Anseriformes; Anatidae
Description: lncRNA (ENSAPLG00000029568.1)
Source: RNAcentral
CUCUUAUUUUAUGGAGCCUGUGUGUGUAAGCUGGAUAACUUACAUUUUUUGGCACCGGUGUGAAACUUCUCAUUUUAGGUGAUUUGGAAUUAUGUGAGCCUGAAAAUGUGGAUUGGAACUUAUGCAGAAAAAUGCCAUUUUUUAUAUGAGUAUGCCAAAGGCUUUGCCAGUUCCACCCCAGCUGCCUGAAUUGUCACCAACCACAGAAAAUACCAGCCUCAAAGGAAUUGCUCUUUGACAUUUAUGGGCUGCUAAAGUGAGGAUUUCAAAUACAUUCCUCAAGUACUGAUGGAAAAUGAUUCAGUGUGCCACAAAGCAUGAUGUGUUUUAUGACUGAAAGUAAAUUUUAGUGGGAAUCCUGCAGAAACAUGAAAUGGAAGAGGCUACCUUGGAUGCAGUCCUGUUUUCCAUCAGGCACUAUGCAUUGCUGCAUUGUUAAAGGAGGUACUACAGGUUCAACAUGUACUUCUCUGCAUACAACAGUAAGAAAACAAUAUUCUUUGAGAUACCUGGAUUCCCAGUGCAAGGAAAUGUUUGAGAAAUCCUGUUACUUAGCAAGAAGAUAAGAUUUCUAAAGAGAUGAAAAUGGGGCAAGAC